Cercophora newfieldiana is the source of this 96-nucleotide non-coding RNA. The record is from the annotation of a GenBank genome assembly. NCBI's taxonomy places the organism in Eukaryota, Fungi, Ascomycota, Sordariomycetes, Sordariales, Lasiosphaeriaceae.
GCUGCCUUGGCCGAGUUGGUUAAGGCGUUGCAUUUAAGUCUUCUCAGACACUCUGCAAUGACGAAAGUCGCGGCGGUUCGAGUCCGUCAGGCAGCA